UGCGUAGGCGGAAUAUUAAGUCAGUGGUGAAAUCCUGCGGCUCAACCGUAGAACUGCCAUUGAUACUGAUAUUCUUGAAUGUAGUUGAGGUAGGCGGAAUGUGUAAUGUAGCGGUGAAAUGCUUAGAUAUUACACAGAACACCGAUUGCGAAGGCAGCUUACUAAGCUAACAUUGACGCUGAGGCACGAAAGCGUGGGGAGCGAACAGGAUUAGAUACCCUGGUAGUCC
This 229-nucleotide ribosomal RNA is filed under the name uncultured bacterium. Its description in RNAcentral is "partial 16S ribosomal RNA". It matches the Rfam family "Bacterial small subunit ribosomal RNA", at positions 568 to 796 of the family's 1533-position model. The record is from RNAcentral.